RNAcentral lists this ribosomal RNA (497 nucleotides) under uncultured bacterium. RNAcentral describes it as "partial 16S ribosomal RNA". It matches the Rfam family "Bacterial small subunit ribosomal RNA", at positions 28 to 507 of the family's 1533-position model. The record is from RNAcentral.
GAUGAACGCUGGCGGCGUGCCUAAUACAUGCAAGUCGAGCGAACGGACGAGAAGCUUGCUUUUCUGAUGUUAGCGGCGGACGGGUGAGUAACACGUGGAUAACCUACCUAUAAGACUGGGAUAACUUCGGGAAACCGGAGCUAAUACCGGAUAAUAUUUUGAACCGCAUGGUUCAAAAGUGAAAGACGGUCUUGCUGUCACUUAUAGAUGGAUCCGCGCUGCAUUAGCUAGUUGGUAAGGUAACGGCUUACCAAGGCAACGAUGCAUAGCCGACCUGAGAGGGUGAUCGGCCACACGGGAACUGAGACACGGUCCAGAGUCCUACGGGAGGCAGCAGUAGGGAAUCUUCCGCAAUGGGCGAAAGCCUGACGGAGCAACGCCGCGUGAGUGAUGGAGGUCUUCGGAUCGUAAAACUCUGUUAUUAGGGAAGAACAUAUGUGUAAGUAACUGUGCACAUCUUGACGGUACCUAAUCAGAAAGCCACGGCUAACUACGUG